AUACGGAGGGUCCGAGCGUUAUCCGGAAUCAUUGGGUUUAAAGGGUCCGUAGGCGGGAAUCUAAGUCAGUGGUGAAAUCUUGCAGCUCAACUGUAAAAUUGCCAUUGAUACUGGAUUUCUUGAAUUAGUGUGAAGUGGUUAGAAUGUGUAGUGUAGCUGUGAAAUGCAUAGAUAUUACACAGAAUACCAAUUGCGAAGGCAGAUCACUAACACUAUAUUGACGCUAAGGGACGAAAGCGUGGGGAGCGAACAGGAUUAGAUACCCCAGUAGUCC
RNAcentral lists this ribosomal RNA (274 nucleotides) under uncultured bacterium. Its description in RNAcentral is "partial 16S ribosomal RNA". It matches the Rfam family "Bacterial small subunit ribosomal RNA", at positions 523 to 796 of the family's 1533-position model. The record is from RNAcentral.